RNAcentral lists this ribosomal RNA (239 nucleotides) under uncultured bacterium. RNAcentral's name for it is "partial 16S ribosomal RNA". It matches the Rfam family "Bacterial small subunit ribosomal RNA", at positions 15 to 248 of the family's 1533-position model. The record is from RNAcentral.
GAUCAUGGCUCAGGACGAACGCUGGCGGCGCGCCUAACACAUGCAAGUCGAACGAGAGAUGAGGAGCUUGCUCUUCAAAUCGAGUGGCGAACGGGUGAGUAACGCGUGAGGAACCUGCCUCAAAGAGGGGGACAACAGUUGGAAACGACUGCUAAUACCGCAUAAGCCCACGGCUCGGCAUCGAGCAGAGGGAAAAAGGAAGGUGAUCCGCUUGUAGAUGGCGUCGCGUCCGACGUUAG